Molecule: long non-coding RNA, 548 nt
Organism: Ruditapes philippinarum (Manila clam)
Lineage: Eukaryota; Metazoa; Mollusca; Bivalvia; Venerida; Veneridae
Exons: 3
Source: RefSeq, a predicted model, not a curated record
AAAUUAAAAAUUCUUUGCAUAAUGCUAAUGAUAUUUAACUUUUGAAUUUUAAACACAGGUAAAAGAAUGUGUUGUGAACAAUGCAAGGUCCUACAUAUGUGACGGCAAGUUCUUUCAAGAAUGGUGGGGAAAAUGAUAUACAGCAAAUUUAAAGGAGGUUUACCAGUAGGUCAUUUGUACUGUGGGAAAUGUGGAGGUAAAAGUGAAGCAGACUUUGCCUUCAUUAUGAAUAUCAACCUUUUUCCGAGUGGCACUGAAUGAAAUUCAAGAGGAUUGCAAUUGUACACAUUUGAUCAGGUGACUAAGGAAAGGGGACACUGUCUCUUGAAAAUCAGAUCUACAAUUUACUUGUCCAGAGUUAUUGGGAGCCUGAUUACACAGGAUGGAUGUUAAUAUCAUCCAAGAAUUUGGAGACAUGUGCAACUUGAUGAAGACUUUACAAAACAAAAAUAGCUUAAUUAACACAUACUUAAACUUACAACCUCCUGUCAGAUGAGCUGACUGAUAUUUCUGCAAGGAAUCAAUUGUACCAUAUACCAAAGGCGUAU